RNAcentral lists this ribosomal RNA (467 nucleotides) under uncultured bacterium. Its description in RNAcentral is "bacterial SSU rRNA". It matches the Rfam family "Bacterial small subunit ribosomal RNA", at positions 329 to 793 of the family's 1533-position model. The record is from RNAcentral.
GACCAGACUCCUACGGGAGGCAGCAGUGAGGAAUAUUGGUCAAUGGCCGGAAGGCUGAACCAGCCAUGCCGCGUGAAGGUCAGUGCCCUAUGGGCGUUAAACUUCUUUUGUGCGGGAGCAAUAAUGGUCACGUGUGGCCAGACGAGAGUACCGUACGAAUAAGCAUCGGCUAACUCCGUGCCAGCAGCCGCGGUAAUACGGGGGAUGCAAGCGUUAUCCGGAUUUAUUGGGUUUAAAGGGUGCGUAGGCUGUGAGGUAAGUCAGCGGUGAAAUGCCCCCGCUCAACGGGGUGAAGUGCCAUUGAUACUGCCUUGCUGGAAUGCGGAUGCCGUGGGAGGAAUGUGUGGUGUAGCGGUGAAAUGCAUAGAUAUCACACAGAACACCGAUUGCGAAGGCAGCCUUCCGGCGCCCUACUGACGCUGAGGCACGAAAGUGCGGGGAUCGAACAGGAUUAGAUACCCCAGUAA